Small nucleolar RNA from Cynocephalus volans (Philippine flying lemur), 128 nucleotides. RefSeq annotates it as small nucleolar RNA SNORA11. The transcript has a single exon. The record is from RefSeq and is a predicted model, not a curated record. NCBI's taxonomy places the organism in Eukaryota, Metazoa, Chordata, Mammalia, Dermoptera, Cynocephalidae.
AGGGUAUGCUCAGAGCAAGGGGAAUGAAUAAAGUUUCCUCUGUUCACAACACACCUGACAGGAAUCUGGGUCAUAGUGAUGAGGGGCACAAAACUCGUGGCCUCCCUAUCGACAAACGCCAUACACAC